Molecule: long non-coding RNA, 1110 nt
Organism: Hemicordylus capensis (graceful crag lizard)
Lineage: Eukaryota; Metazoa; Chordata; Lepidosauria; Squamata; Cordylidae
Exons: 3
Source: RefSeq, a predicted model, not a curated record
UGAAGGCAAUACGCUUCUCUUGUUUUUUGUUCUCUAGCAACUGGAAUUCAGAGGCAUAUUGCUUCCAAACCUGAAUGUACUAUAUAGCCUUCAUAACUAGAACUGGAAGUCAUUGAUAGUCUUGUCCUCCAUGAAUUUCUCUAAUCUCUUUUUAAAGUAAUCUAAGAUAGUAUCCAUCACCAUUUCUUAACGGCAGUGAAUUCAAUAAAUUAAUUAUGUGCGGUGUGAAUAAAUUCUUCCUUUUGUCUAUCCUAGAUCUCCUGCCAGCCAGUUUCAUUGGUUGAACUUAUGUUCUAGGUUUGUGAGAAUGAGUGUAAAACUUCUCUAUCCAUUUUCUCCACAUCAUGGAUCAUUUUAUAAGGUUCAGUUAUAUCCCCCUUUAGUGGUCCCCCCCCAACUCAAAAAAUCCAAGCCCCGGAGGGAAAAACUUCAGCUCCCUGAUAAUUUUGGUUGCCCUCUUGUGCACCUUGCCCAACUCGAAAAUAUUCUCUUUGAGAUGUACCAUACUCAGCUGAACACAGUAUUCCAAAUGUGGCCAAGGACAACAAAGUAGAAUAGAAUGGAAGAGAGAGGGAGAGAUGAUCAAAGAGUUAAAGUGAAUUCCAUGUUAAGUUAGGAUUAGGUAGUUCUCAGUCUGAAAAUAAUGGAGACUACUGUGAUAUACUUUCUUGACAGGUGUUCAAGAAUGGUUGGACAGAAAAUGAACAGAACUAAUGCAAAGAAUGAAGUUGCUAAUGUCUUCAAAAGUAAUUGACUGUUAUAGAGAUUCCAGUUUGGUCUUCAUGUUUUUUUAUUGUUUUAAUGAACAUUAGGGAAGCUUGGGCUUUCAAGAAACGUCAAUAGACCAUCAGGAAUACUUGUCCUUUAUCAUUCAAUCCGCAACUGAUCAGACUGAAGAAGGAUACAGAAGAAGCGCUUGCAGAGAAAGCCAACAAGGCAACAACUAUUCAAACCAAGUGGAAAUGCCUAAGAAUUCCCCUACAUGCUGGAAUUACUUCACCGAGGAUUAAAUAAAACCACCUGUUUUCAUUGUGGCUGUUCAUUCUACUUAUGCUGUGUUCAUACUUCUAAUGCCCAGCAGCUAGCACAAAACACUCCAACCCCAACCAC